AACGAACGCUGGCGGCAGGCCUAACACAUGCAAGUCGAGCGCGCCCUUCGGGGUGAGCGGCGGACGGGUGAGUAACGCGUGGGAACGUGCCCUUUUCUACGGAAUAGCCUCGGGAAACUGAGAGUAAUACCGUAUACGCCCUUUGGGGGAAAGAUUUAUCGGAAAAGGAUCGGCCCGCGUUGGAUUAGGUAGUUGGUGGGGUAAUGGCCUACCAAGCCGACGAUCCAUAGCUGGUUUGAGAGGAUGAUCAGCCACACUGGGACUGAGACACGGCCCAGACUCCCACGGGAGGCAGCAGUGGGGAAUCUUAGACGAUGGGGGCAACCCUGAUCUAGCCAUGCCGCGUGAGUGAUGAAGGCCUUAGGGUUGUCAAGCUCUCUCAGCUGGGAAGAUAAUGACGGUACCAGCAGAAGAAGCCCCGGCUAACUCCGUG
Molecule: ribosomal RNA, 433 nt
Filed under: uncultured bacterium
Lineage: Bacteria
Description: partial 16S ribosomal RNA
Rfam family: Bacterial small subunit ribosomal RNA
Source: RNAcentral